UUAAGUCAACAGUUUUCUUAAGCAUCUCAUCAACAACUUUAAUUGAACAGUAUCUUCAUAACACAACCGAAAGAUCAAAUUUAUAUUGCUGGUGAAUUCGAUCUCGUCCUAAAUGACUUUGCUGUACCUCUCUAUGAAAUUCGCUUUGUGAGUUCCAUACAUUUUAGCAAUCACCAAAAUAAAUUU
Bradysia coprophila is the source of this 186-nucleotide long non-coding RNA. The record is from RefSeq and is a predicted model, not a curated record. Lineage: Eukaryota; Metazoa; Arthropoda; Insecta; Diptera; Sciaridae.